GGGGAAUAUUGCACAAUGGGCGCAAGCCUGAUGCAGCGACGCCGCGUGAGGGAUGAAGGCCUUCGGGUUGUAAACCUCUUUCGUCAGGGAAGAAGCGAAAGUGACGGUACCUGAAGAAGAAGCACCGGCUAACUACGUGCCAGCAGCCGCGGUAAUACGUAGGGUGCGAGCGUUGUCCGGAAUUAUUGGGCGUAAAGAGCUUGUAGGCGGUUUGUCGCGUCUGCCGUGAAAACCUAGGGCUUAACUCUGGGCGUGCGGUGGGUACGGGCAGGCUAGAGUGUGGUAGGGGAGACUGGAAUUCCUGGUGUAGCGGUGAAAUGCGCAGAUAUCAGGAGGAACACCGAUGGCGAAGGCAGGUCUCUGGGCCAUAACUGACGCUGAGAAGCGAAAGCAUGGGGAGCGAAC
Molecule: ribosomal RNA, 405 nt
Filed under: uncultured bacterium
Lineage: Bacteria
Description: bacterial SSU rRNA
Rfam family: Bacterial small subunit ribosomal RNA
Source: RNAcentral